GACCUCGUAGCUCAGUUGGUAGAGCAUUGGACUAGCAAACCGGAUGUAGAGGGUUCGAUUCCCACCGCGGUCA
Non-coding RNA from Paramuricea clavata, 73 nucleotides. The record is from the annotation of a GenBank genome assembly. NCBI's taxonomy places the organism in Eukaryota, Metazoa, Cnidaria, Anthozoa, Malacalcyonacea, Plexauridae.